This 407-nucleotide ribosomal RNA is filed under the name Calliapagurops charcoti. RNAcentral's name for it is "partial small subunit ribosomal RNA". Lineage: Eukaryota; Metazoa; Arthropoda; Malacostraca; Decapoda; Callichiridae. The record is from RNAcentral.
AUCUUUAGUAAUAAUAAAAAUCUAUACUUAAAUAUUAAAAGUUAUGUUCUUUAAAUUUUAAGGAUUUGGCAGUAAUUUAGUCCAGUUAGAGGAACCUGUUUUGUAAACGAUACACCACGUAAAAUCUUACCUUUUAUAAAAGCUUGUAUACCAUCAUUAUUAGAUAAUUCUCAUAAGAUUAAUUAUUGUAAUAAUUUAUAAAUUAAUAUAUUAGAUCAAGGUGCAGCCUAUGAAAAGGUUUUAAUGGGUUACAAUUAAUUUUAGUAUAAUGAAUAUAAAAUUUAAAUAUUUUAUUGAAAAAGGAUUUAAUUGUAAAAUUAAUUUAAUAUGAUAAUUUGAUAAUGGAUCUAAAUUAAGUACAUAUCGCCCGUCGCUUUCAUUUAUAAAUGAAAUAAGUCGUAACAUAG